CAAAUUGUGGAGAAGUCAAGAAUGAAGGCUGGGUGAGUGCAUGUGUGCGCGUGAUUUUAUAUAGAGGCAGGAAAAGAAAGGUUACCAAUAGAGAGUCUAUUACUGAAAUUAAGGUACUAUUGAACGUAGAAUCGUCAUAGCUAAGCAGGAUAACCAGUUGCAAGGUGGGGAAACGAGCAGGGGAAAGACU
This is a long non-coding RNA of Erigeron canadensis, 190 nucleotides long. RefSeq lists it as uncharacterized. NCBI's taxonomy places the organism in Eukaryota, Viridiplantae, Streptophyta, Magnoliopsida, Asterales, Asteraceae. The transcript has 3 exons. The record is from RefSeq and is a predicted model, not a curated record.